This 306-nucleotide ribosomal RNA is filed under the name Austrominius modestus. RNAcentral describes it as "partial 12S ribosomal RNA". It matches the Rfam family "Microsporidia small subunit ribosomal RNA", at positions 780 to 1200 of the family's 1311-position model. Lineage: Eukaryota; Metazoa; Arthropoda; Thecostraca; Balanomorpha; Elminiidae. The record is from RNAcentral.
CGGAUUUGGCGGCAAGAUAGCCAUUUAGAGGAACCUGCCCUAUAAACGAUGAGCCACGAAUAACCUUACUCUUUUUAGUUACUCAGUUUGUAUACCGCUGUUGUCAGUUAGUUUCUUUAGAAAACUUUCGUUUAUGAUAUAUUCAAUGACUUCAAGUAAAGGUGCAGCUUAUAGAAGAGACAGAGGUGGGUUACAAUUAACAGAAUAAAACGGAUAAAGUUUUUGAAACAACUUUUGAAGGUGGAUUUAAAAGUAAGAUUUUAUGAAGUCUGAUGAGAGCUCUAUCUUGUGUACACACCGCCCGUC